RNAcentral lists this transfer RNA (63 nucleotides) under Tracheophilus cymbius. RNAcentral describes it as "tRNA-Gln". The record is from RNAcentral. Lineage: Eukaryota; Metazoa; Platyhelminthes; Trematoda; Plagiorchiida; Cyclocoelidae.
UGUAAUCUGGUGUGGUUAGCAUUUUAUGUUUUGGUCAUAAAGGAAAUUAGUAGUUGGUUACAG